RNAcentral lists this ribosomal RNA (1440 nucleotides) under metagenome. RNAcentral's name for it is "bacterial SSU rRNA". It matches the Rfam family "Bacterial small subunit ribosomal RNA". The record is from RNAcentral.
AGAGUUUGAUCCUGGCUCAGAUUGAACGCUGGCGGCAUGCCUUACACAUGCAAGUCGAACGGCAGCACGGGAGCUUGCUCCUGGUGGCGAGUGGCGAACGGGUGAGUAAUAUAUCGGAACGUGCCCUAGAGUGGGGGAUAACUAGUCGAAAGAUUAGCUAAUACCGCAUACGAUCUACGGAUGAAAGUGGGGGAUCGCAAGACCUCAUGCUCAUGGAGCGGCCGAUAUCUGAUUAGCUAGUUGGUGAGGUAAAGGCUCACCAAGGCGACGAUCAGUAGCUGGUCUGAGAGGACGACCAGCCACACUGGAACUGAGACACGGUCCAGACUCCUACGGGAGGCAGCAGUGGGGAAUUUUGGACAAUGGGCGCAAGCCUGAUCCAGCAAUGCCGCGUGAGUGAAGAAGGCCUUCGGGUUGUAAAGCUCUUUUGUCAGGGAAGAAACGGUUCUGGUCAAUACCUGGGGCUAAUGACGGUACCUGAAGAAUAAGCACCGGCUAACUACGUGCCAGCAGCCGCGGUAAUACGUAGGGUGCAAGCGUUAAUCGGAAUUACUGGGCGUAAAGCGUGCGCAGGCGGUUGUGCAAGACAGAUGUGAAAUCCCCGGGCUCAACCUGGGAAUUGCAUUUGUGACUGCACGGCUAGAGUGUGUCAGAGGGGGGUAGAAUUCCACGUGUAGCAGUGAAAUGCGUAGAUAUGUGGAGGAAUACCGAUGGCGAAGGCAGCCCCCUGGGAUAACACUGACGCUCAUGCACGAAAGCGUGGGGAGCGAACAGGAUUAGAUACCCUGGUAGUCCACGCCCUAAACGAUGUCUACUAGUUGUCGGGUCUUAAUUGACUUGGUAACGCAGCUAACGCGUGAAGUAGACCGCCUGGGGAGUACGGUCGCAAGAUUAAAACUCAAAGGAAUUGACGGGGACCCGCACAAGCGGUGGAUGAUGUGGAUUAAUUCGAUGCAACGCGAAAAACCUUACCUACCCUUGACAUGUACGGAAUCCUGAAGAGAUUUAGGAGUGCUCGAAAGAGAACCGUAACACAGGUGCUGCAUGGCUGUCGUCAGCUCGUGUCGUGAGAUGUUGGGUUAAGUCCCGCAACGAGCGCAACCCUUGUCAUUAGUUGCUACGAAAGGGCACUCUAAUGAGACUGCCGGUGACAAACCGGAGGAAGGUGGGGAUGACGUCAAGUCCUCAUGGCCCUUAUGGGUAGGGCUUCACACGUCAUACAAUGGUACAUACAGAGGGCCGCCAACCCGCGAGGGGGAGCUAAUCCCAGAAAGUGUAUCGUAGUCCGGAUUGGAGUCUGCAACUCGACUCCAUGAAGUUGGAAUCGCUAGUAAUCGCGGAUCAGCAUGUCGCGGUGAAUACGUUCCCGGGUCUUGUACACACCGCCCGUCACACCAUGGGAGCGGGUUCUGCCAGAAGUAGUUAGCCUAACCGUAAGGA